ACGUCUUGUGGGUGACAGUGGAAAGAGGAUGAUGGAGAAGGUGGUGGAGGCUAACAUCCAGGCUACGACCGAUGAGAUCCAAGCUCUGUACAACAGCAGCGGACCAGAGAAGCCCAUCUCUCUCAGAACCACCUGGAGGACGUGAUUGGGCUACAGACGUAAUAGACAGCACCCUCGUCAGCCACAGACAACAGUCACUCUGGUCAAGGUCCAAAUUCUCGGAGCUCUAUGAAUAGCAUUUGCAAGGACGACACGGGAAAAGAAACGUCUGUGCAGGGAUACACGUGUACAGGACAGCUAAGGUGAAACGCAAAAGCAGACUUUCUUUGAAGCGCAUCAUUAAAAUGGCAGGUUUGCCCUUCUCAGGGAUAUUUAUGUUUCUUAUUCAUAUAUUAUAUUUAGACUUACUGUAUCUUGGAACCAAUAGACCUGAGAUUAUGGACCUGUGGUACUGAUGAUAAUGGCUGCUCAAUUUAUCUUCUGCUAAAGUCCAUAGUCUAAUCUGUGACAUGGUGAAACUAAGAAGAUUACUAACUUAAAAAAAAAAUGGUAUAAGGAAUCUUUGGGGUGAAAACCAAUUGCGUUCUUUUAGUUACACUUAAUUUAACAUGACUGCACUGUCGUUCCCUCACCUUCAAGUCUAAGGAAUUCAAUAAAGAGAAUAUUGUACAACUAUACCAGACAAUAAUACGACUGUAGUUUAAAGUGUAAAGCCUGUGACUCAGUGUUUAUACCAUCAAUAUACAGCACUAAAGACUAAGACACAUUAAGUGCAGUAAGUCAAUUCAUAUUUUAUGUUCCCUUUGAUUCUCAGUUUACAGUCGUUCGUUAUACAGUAUUUUCAUCCUGUUACUGUUAUUGUAGUGGAAGUGGAAGUAGCUAAAUGAAUAUAGGACAGUUCUUCUUUAAGUUCACAGUCAACAGAGAAAUAAAUGAUAAAAGUUAAACAACCAGGAGGAAUGAAAAUCCAAAUAGAAAGAGGCAAACAAUGAGUUGCUGCUUCGUGUAGUGUUUGUUGGUGAUUUGAUUUGAUGUGAUCAGUAUUUGCAGCAUAAUUCAGUAUAAGAGUUGCUGGAAUUUUCCUUUAGCUGCACUGACAAUAGUCUGCAAUGAUCGUGUGUGUGUACUAAUUAACAAACUGAUGAGCCUGCACCUGGUGGAUUGUAGAUGCUGUGAUUGGAUAACGAGGCGCAGCCGUGCUCUUUAGAAGCCGAAGGAAGCGGUAGUACCCUCCGGCCGCUGAUGGUUGCAAGAUGACCCUGUGUCAAGGAGUAGCAGCCGACCGGUGGACACCACGACGCCAAGAAGUCCGAAGCAUCUGGUUUCUGUUACGUAGACGACAUCGUCCUGGCCAUGCUGCUAAAUAAGACGCUUGGGAUUGGAUAACGAGGCGCAGCCGUGCAGAAAGGACGCAGUAACACUUUCCGGUGCGGUGAUGGUUGCAAGAUGGAGCUGUGUGAAGACAGAGAAAAAGUUUUACGGAUUCGGUUGGGAAAUAGAAGAUUUCAUUAAAGGACAAGAAAAGUCAAGCCUUGUGGUUUUCUGAAAUAUUCUAUCCGUUAUCUGACUGUCUAGCUUUGCAUAAGUACACGCACUGCGAGGGCAGUACAAUGACCCACGGAGCCAUCUUUAAACCGGCCACAGGAAGUAUAGCCUGUGAGGAGGAGGAGGUGGAGGUUACAGGCAUGCUGCCAGCUUGGUGAAAAAAGGAAGCAGAAGAGAGGUAACCUUUGGAUGAUUGACUGCAGCCAGAACAAGUAGUGUUGUUGCAUUUACUUUUUGUCUUUGCAGAAGAGGAGGAAGAGACGAACCUUUGAAUCCUGUGAGCAGAUGGGUGACAGAAGUAGUGUGAGUAUGGAAUCAUGUAUUGUUUUAAAUGUGUAUCUAUGGCCUUUGUGAUUGAUUGCAUGUUUUGCAAUAUUUGCAAUAUAAAUAUCUGCAUGAAGACCGUUUGGUUUGAGUGGUCCAAAUAUUUUGGGUGUUGCGACUUUAGCCACGUGUGUUGGCGAAAAUGCUGCGGCUUGUUCCUCACAGAACAAGCCGGUUAACAGUGCAUUGUAAAAAUGAGAUACCUAUGAAGAAGACGGCACAUUAUUAUCGAGGGUACGAAUUUACACGUUUUCAUUAUUUAAGCGUGUGCGUGCACUCAUGCACGUAUGAAAUUGAUUAAUUAAAUCUUUUCAGGUGUAGCAGCAGAACGCUGGACUUCACCACGCCAAGAAGUCCGAAGCAUCUGGUUUCUGUUACGGGAACGACAUGGUGCUGGCCAUUUUUCUCAAGGCAUCGGAGGCUGGAAAGGGCAAAUACUACGCACAUGACCCACAAAGCCAUCUUUAAACCGGCCACAGGAAGUUCAAGCCCAUGACCAAGGAAUAGCCUGUGAGGAGGAGGUUGCAGGCAUGCUGCCAGCUUUCUGAAGAGAAGCAGAAGAGAGGUAACCUUUGGAUGAUUCACUGCAGCCAGAACAGAGUUGUUGCAUUUACUUUGUCGCAGAAGAGGAGGAAGAGACGAACCUUUGAAUC
Cynoglossus semilaevis (tongue sole) is the source of this 2522-nucleotide long non-coding RNA. RefSeq lists it as uncharacterized. The record is from RefSeq and is a predicted model, not a curated record. The transcript has 8 exons. Lineage: Eukaryota; Metazoa; Chordata; Actinopteri; Pleuronectiformes; Cynoglossidae.